UACAGAGGGGGCAAGCGUUGUCCGGAUUCAUUGGGCGUAAAGAGCUCGUAGGCGGCUGUUCAAGUCGAACGUGAAAACUCGGAGCUCAACUCCGAGCCUGCGUUCGAAUACGUGACGGCUAGAGUCUGGUAGGGGGGAUCUGGAAUUCCUGGUGUAGCGGUGGAAUGCGCAGAUAUCAGGAGGAACACCGGUGGCGAAGGCGGGAUCCUGGGCCAGUACUGACGCUGAUGCGCGAAAGCCAGGGGAGCGAACGGG
RNAcentral lists this ribosomal RNA (255 nucleotides) under uncultured bacterium. RNAcentral describes it as "partial 16S ribosomal RNA". It matches the Rfam family "Bacterial small subunit ribosomal RNA", at positions 524 to 776 of the family's 1533-position model. The record is from RNAcentral.